GGUCUCGUAGUGUAGCGGUUAACACGCCUGCCUGUCACGCAUGAGAUCGCGGGUUCGAUUCCCGUCGAGACCGCCA
RNAcentral lists this transfer RNA (76 nucleotides) under Staphylococcus haemolyticus. RNAcentral describes it as "tRNA-Asp". It matches the Rfam family "tRNA". Rfam says of the family: Transfer RNA (tRNA) molecules are approximately 80 nucleotides in length. Their secondary structure includes four short double-helical elements and three loops (D, anti-codon, and T loops). The record is from RNAcentral. RNAcentral also lists the same sequence under 1 other name. Lineage: Bacteria; Bacillati; Bacillota; Bacilli; Caryophanales; Staphylococcaceae.